GCGGUUGUGGCUCAGUGAUAGAGCUCUCACCUAGCACGUGUAGGGUGCUGAGUUGGAUCCUCAGUACCACA
RNAcentral lists this transfer RNA (71 nucleotides) under Marmota monax (woodchuck). RNAcentral's name for it is "tRNA.Ala". Lineage: Eukaryota; Metazoa; Chordata; Mammalia; Rodentia; Sciuridae. The record is from RNAcentral.